Molecule: long non-coding RNA, 504 nt
Organism: Homo sapiens (human)
Lineage: Eukaryota; Metazoa; Chordata; Mammalia; Primates; Hominidae
Gene: PROX1-AS1
Product: PROX1 antisense RNA 1
Source: Ensembl
CUCUCUCUCUCUCUCUCUCUCUCUAUCUCUCUCUCUCUCUUUUUUUUCCCCCGGCAGAGAGAGGAAAACACGCGAGUGCACACACGGUGAUAUCUUGCGGGUGAUGAAUAUGAUAAUUGGACAAGGGACGCUGGAGGCAAAGGAUGCCAAGAUGGGAAAGCCACAUAAUGGAAGGAUCCUGGAUUUCAGAGCUGUCACUUGGAGGAGGGGCACCCAGUGAAGGUGUCUUAUCUAACCCACACCAUAUCUUCAUGAAGUGGCCAUAUGGAUUUGAUCCCUAUCCUUCAGAGGUGCUCAGCCUAAGGGAACACGGAUAGUAGAUUAAGCACUGACCAGAUAUAUAGAAGCACUUAGGAACUUUGUUCUACUAUUCUGCACUGAAGGAACUUUCAGAACUUUCCAGUGCUUCAGGUUGGGGUCCGAGCCAGCCUUGACAAUGUGCUGAUGGCAACCUAGAACAUAAGCAGAGGAGUAUACAGGACAAGAACUUGAUGGUCUCGGGAA